Molecule: ribosomal RNA, 1434 nt
Filed under: Mesomycoplasma hyorhinis
Lineage: Bacteria; Bacillati; Mycoplasmatota; Mycoplasmoidales; Metamycoplasmataceae
Description: Mycoplasma hyorhinis partial 16S ribosomal RNA
Rfam family: Bacterial small subunit ribosomal RNA
Source: RNAcentral
ACGCUCGCUGUGUGCUAAUACAUGCAUGUUGAACGGGAUGUAGCAAUACAUUCAGUAGCGAAUGGGUGAGUAACACGUACCUAACCUACCUUUAAGACUGGGAUAACUAUUGGAAACAAUAGCUAAUACCGGAUAUAGUUAUUUAUCGCAUGAUGAGUAAUAGAAAGGAGCUUCACAGCUUCACUUAAAAAUGGGGGUGCGGAACAUUAGUUAGUUGGUAGGGUAAUGGCCUACCAAGACGAUGAUGUUUAGCCGGGCCGAGAGGCUGUACGGCCACACUGGGACUGAGAUACGGCCCAGACUCCUACGGGAGGCAGCAGUAAGGAAUUUUCCACAAUGAGCGAAAGCUUGAUGGAGCGACACAGCGUGCAGGAUGAAGUUCUUCGGAAUGUAAACUGCUGUUAUAAGGGAAGAAAAAAUAGAAUAGGAAAUGAUUUUAUCUUGACGGUACCUUAUUAGAAAGCGACGGCAAACUAUGUGCCAGCAGCCGCGGUAAUACAUAGGUCGCAAGCGUUAUCCGGAAUUAUUGGGCGUAAAGCGUCCGUAGGUUUUUUGCUAAGUCUGGAGUUAAAUGCUGAAGCUCAACUUCAGUCCGCUUUGGAUACUGGCAAAAUAGAAUUAUAAAGAGGUUAGCGGAAUUCCUAGUGAAGCGGUGGAAUGCGUAGAUAUUAAGAAGAACACCAAUAGGCGAAGGCAGCUAACUGGUUAUAUAUUGACACUAAGGGACGAAAGCGUGGGGGAGCAAACAGGAUUAGAUACCCUGGUAGUCCACGCCGUAAACGAUGAUCAUUAGUUGGUGGAAUAAUUUCACUAACGCAGCUAACGCGUUAAAUGAUCCGCCUGAGUAGUAUGCUCGCAAGAGUGAAACUUAAAGGAAUUGACGGGAACCCGCACAAGCGGUGGAGCAUGUGGUUUAAUUUGAAGAUACGCGUAGAACCUUACCCACUCUUGACAUCUUCUGCAAAGCUAUAGAGAUAUAGUGGAGGUUAACAGAAUGACAGAUGGUGCAUGGUUGUCGUCAGCUCGUGUCGUGAGAUGUUAGGUUAAGUCCUGCAACGAGCGCAACCCUUUUCUUUAGUUACUAAUAUUAAGUUAAGGACUCUAGAGAUACUGCCUGGGUAACCAGGAGGAAGGUGGGGACGACGUCAAAUCAUCAUGCCUCUUACGAGUGGGGCAACACACGUGCUACAAUGGUCGGUACAAAGAGAAGCAAUAUGGUGACAUGGAGCAAAUCUCAAAAAACCGAUCUCAGUUCGGAUUGAAGUCUGCAACUCGACUUCAUGAAGUCGGAAUCGCUAGUAAUCGUAGAUCAGCUACGCUACGGUGAAUACGUUUCUCGGGUUUUGUACACACCGCCCGUCACACCAUGGGAGUUGGUAAUGCCCAAAGUCGGUGAGUAACUUCGGAGACCAUUGCCUAAGCAGACUGAUGACU